GACGAACGCUGGCGGCGUGCCUAAUACAUGCAAGUCGAACGCAGGGGGGACGGGUGAGUAACACGUGGGUAACCUCCCAUAAGAGGGGGUAAAACUUGGAAACAGGUGCUAAACAGAUACUGGUGGAUGGACCCGGGGUGCAUUAGCUGGUUGGUGAGGUAAAGGCUCACCAAGGCCACGAUGCAUAGCCGGCCUGAGAGGAUGAUCGGCCACACUGGGACUGAGACACGGCCCAGACUCCUACGGGAGGCAGCAGUGGGGAAUCUUCGGCAAUGGGCGAAAGCCUGACGGAGCAAUGCCGCGUGUGUGAAGAAGGUUUUCGGGUCGUAAAGUUCUGUUAGUAGAGAAGCGUUAUCGAACCAGAAAGCCCCGGCUAACUACGUGCCAGCAGCCGCGGUAAUUC
This 403-nucleotide ribosomal RNA is filed under the name uncultured bacterium. RNAcentral's name for it is "partial 16S ribosomal RNA". It matches the Rfam family "Bacterial small subunit ribosomal RNA", at positions 28 to 526 of the family's 1533-position model. The record is from RNAcentral.